CUCCCACCAUGUUAUUCAGCCUUCAGAUGGAAGGGACAGCCUUGAAGAUGCAUAAGUAAGCUAGAAAAUGUUUCUUCAGUAGAAAUUUCAGUAGAAACUUGGUAAAAUGAUCUCUUUACAACUUCCAUGAUUUUAUUCUCCAGGACAAUAUGGCAGGAUGGAAGCUGAGGACCAAAGCAGCUACAGGACUGACCUGCCCAAAACCACACAGUGAGUCUGCAGCCCGGCUUCGGACCAGAGUUUCUUCUGACAAGCGGCAAGCUCACUGAUGGCCACACCCGCUCAUCCUGGAUAACAGUAUUCCCCAGUGGAAUUAACACGAUGCAUCUUCCUGGAGUAUCAUUUUUACUUUAAGAUUUAAAAGCAAGCAAGCAAAUUAAAUAGUCAUUUAAAUCAUAUUUAUAUUAAGCCUAACAUGGCCAUAUUGUAGAGCAAACCAUCGGGAUUUAAUAAACAAAACAGGAAACUUCAAAGAAUGCUUUUUCUUGGAAAGAAGGCAGGAGAGCAAGAAAAGCGACUGCCUCAGCCUUUAUCACUCUCCAGACCAGUGCCAAGGAGCCAAAGAGAAGAAAUGAGAAUAACCAAGGUAUGCUGUGUCCAAUUAAUUAACUAUUAGCAAACAAAGGACCAAACAAUGUGACUGUAAGCUUCAUGACAGCAGGGAGUUUGUAUAUCUUUUCACCUGUGUAUCGGCAGUACCUAGCACCAUACCUGGCACAUUGUAGAUAAUAUAUAUUUGUGGAAUAAAUGAAUGAAUGAAC
Molecule: long non-coding RNA, 761 nt
Filed under: Homo sapiens (human)
Lineage: Eukaryota; Metazoa; Chordata; Mammalia; Primates; Hominidae
Description: HSALNT0316701
Source: RNAcentral